RNA transcript from Nycticebus coucang (slow loris), 964 nucleotides. It is a transcript of the gene named 40S ribosomal protein S13-like, with no coding region annotated. Lineage: Eukaryota; Metazoa; Chordata; Mammalia; Primates; Lorisidae. The record is from RefSeq and is a predicted model, not a curated record. The transcript has a single exon.
GUCUGCUCGGAAUUUUGGAAUUUAAGAGAGGAAGGAUGGGGGUAGGAGCUAAUGGGUGCGGACUCAGGUACAGGAGGCUGGAUCUUUAUCUCUAAAAUCCAAUUUUUGGGUUCGGAGACUAGUUCUCUUUUUGCUGCUUGGCUGCCGCCAUCAUGGGUCGCAUGCAUGCUCCCGGGAAGGGCCUGUCUCAGUCGGCUUUGCCCUAUCGCCGCAGCGUUCCCACUUGGCUGAAGUUAACGUCUGAUGACGUGAAGGAGCAGAUUUACAAACUGGCUAAGAAGGGGCUGACUCCCUCACAGAUCGGUGUGAUCCUGAGACUCACAUGGCAUUGCUCAAGUACGUUUUGUGACAAGCGAUAAAAUCUUGAGAAUCCUUAAGUCUAAAAGACUUGCUCCUGAUCUUCCUGAAGAUCUCUACCAUUUAAUUAAAAAAGCAGUCGCUGUUCGAAAGUAUCCUGAGAGGAAUAGAAAGGGUAAGGAUGCUAAAUUCGGUCUGAUUCUGAUAGCCGAAUUCAUCGAUUCGGUAUUACAAGACCAAACGAGUUCUUCCUCCCAAAUGGAAAUAUGAGUCAUCCACAGCCUCUGCCCUGGUUGCAUAAAUUUGUCUAUGAACCCAAAACAAUAAAAUAAUUCUUUAACUUAAAAAAUAAAUAAAUAAAUAAAAUAAAAUCUAAUUUUUGCAAUGCUAUGGUGAGGGAGGGAGGAUAUGCAGUGAUAGCCAAAGGCCUGGCAAGGUCUCCAGGGGGAGUUUACUCCCUUUCUCUAGGUUUGUUAUUGAAACUGCAAAACAGGUGGUUUGGCUACCUGGAGUAGCCAAAGAGAAUUUGUGUCAAGGCUUCUGCCCUUUGUCCCAGGGGAUCUAUCAUGAGACUAUGGUCACGAGGGGGAGAAGUCCCACUCCAGGUGGCCACAAGGGGGCAGGAGAGGCCUUCACCGAGGUCUAGGUGGAGCGGUAACGCGUUCUC